Staphylotrichum tortipilum is the source of this 88-nucleotide non-coding RNA. The record is from the annotation of a GenBank genome assembly. Lineage: Eukaryota; Fungi; Ascomycota; Sordariomycetes; Sordariales; Chaetomiaceae.
GGUUGUGUAGUGUAGCGGUUAGCACUUUGGAUUUUGAAGGCCUCGGCCCUCCCUUCCAACAACCCCGGUUCGAACCCGGGCACGACCU